Molecule: ribosomal RNA, 497 nt
Filed under: uncultured bacterium
Lineage: Bacteria
Description: partial 16S ribosomal RNA
Rfam family: Bacterial small subunit ribosomal RNA
Source: RNAcentral
GAUGAACGCUGGCGGCGUGCCUAAUACAUGCCGGUCGAGCGAACGGACGAGAAGCUUGCUUCUCUGAUGUUAGCGGCGGACGGGUGAGUAACACGUGGAUAACCUACCUAUAAGACUGGGAUAACUUCGGGAAACCGGAGCUAAUACCGGAUAAUAUUUUGAACCGCAUGGUUCAAAAGUGAAAGACGGUCUUGCUGUCACUUAUAGAUGGAUCCGCGCUGCAUUAGCUAGUUGGUAAGGUAACGGCUUACCAAGGCAACGAUGCAUAGCCGACCUGAGAGGGUGAUCGGCCACACUGGAACUGAGACACGGUCCAGACUCCUACGGGAGGCAGCAGUAGGGAAUCUUCCGCAAUGGGCGAAAGCCUGACGGAGCAACGCCGCGUGAGUGAUGAAGGUCUUCGGAUCGUAAAACUCUGUUAUUAGGGAAGAACAUAUGUGUAAGUAACUGUGCACAUCUUGACGGUACCUAAUCAGAAAGCCACGGCUAACUACGUG